Molecule: ribosomal RNA, 485 nt
Filed under: Dichelops leucostigmus
Lineage: Eukaryota; Metazoa; Arthropoda; Insecta; Hemiptera; Pentatomidae
Description: partial 16S ribosomal RNA
Rfam family: Archaeal large subunit ribosomal RNA
Source: RNAcentral
UCAAUGAUUUAUUUAAUUAAAUAGCCGCAGAAUUUUGACUGUGCGAAGGUAGCAUAAUCAUUUGUCUCUUAAUUGGAGGCUUGUAUGAAUGGUUGGAUGAGGGAAUGACUUUCUUUAUAUUAUUUGUUGAAUUUAAUUUUUUAGUCAAAAAGCUUAAAUUUUUAAAUGGGACGAGAAGACCCUAUAGAAUUUUAUUAUUUAAUUAUUAGUUUUAAUUUUGGUUAAUCUUUUUUUAUUAUUAAUUAGAUAAUUUUGUUGGGGUGACAGUAAGAUUUUUUCAACUCUUAUAAUUAUAUUAUUUAUUAAUUAUUAUUUUUAAGAUCCUAUUUUAUGGAUAUUUAGUUUAAAUUACCUUAGGGAUAACAGCGUUAUUUCUCUGGAGAGUUCUUAUUGAUAGAGGAGUUUGCGACCUCGAUGUUGGAUUAAAAUUAGAUUUGAGUGCAGAAGCUUAAUUUCUAGGUCUGUUCGACCUUUAAAAUUUUACA